This 376-nucleotide long non-coding RNA is filed under the name Ananas comosus (pineapple). RNAcentral describes it as "long non-coding RNA (ACOM_LNC007931)". The record is from RNAcentral. Lineage: Eukaryota; Viridiplantae; Streptophyta; Magnoliopsida; Poales; Bromeliaceae.
ACUCUAAUCACACAUCAAAUAAUUUUUUUUUAGGAAAACUUCAAAACCCCCUGUGUUUUCAUAGUUUCUCACUUUGCCCCCUGUGGUUUAAAAUGUAUCAAUUUGCCCUCCUAUGAUUUCUUUUUUUUUCCUUUUCUUAUCAAUUUUAUUUUUUUUUUCUUAAAUCAAUGAUAAAGUUAAAAUUAAAGGAUACUAAAGUGAAUAUUUGAUAAAUCUAAAUGUGUAUCUGAAGUUUUUUGUAUAUAAUUUAAUAAAAUAUUAAGGAAAAAGCUACCGAAAAGAUAAAAACGAAACCACAGGGGGGCAAAUUGAUACAUUUUAAACCACAUGGGGUUUUUUGAAGUUUUUCCUUUUUUUUAUAAGUAUCCAUUUGUUA